UACGUAGGGGGCGAGCGUUGUCCGGAUUUAUUGGGCGUAAAGAGCGUGUAGGCGGCCUGGUAGGUCAGCUGUGAAAACUCGAGGCUCAACCUCGAGACGUCGGUUGAAACCACCUGGCUAGAGUCCGGAAGAGGAGAGUGGAAUUCCCGGUGUAGCGGUGAAAUGCGCAGAUAUCGGGAAGAACACCCGUGGCGAAGGCGGCUCUCUAGUACGGUACUGACGCUGAGACGCGAAAGCGUGGGGAGCGAACAGG
Molecule: ribosomal RNA, 253 nt
Filed under: uncultured bacterium
Lineage: Bacteria
Description: partial 16S ribosomal RNA
Rfam family: Bacterial small subunit ribosomal RNA
Source: RNAcentral